RNAcentral lists this ribosomal RNA (1345 nucleotides) under human gut metagenome. Its description in RNAcentral is "bacterial LSU rRNA". It matches the Rfam family "Bacterial large subunit ribosomal RNA", at positions 925 to 2288 of the family's 2925-position model. The record is from RNAcentral.
GGUAUUGCACUUACCGAAGACUAUCAAACUCCGAAUGCCGUAUUCUUUUGCUUGGGAGUCAGACUAUGGGUGAUAAGAUUCAUAGUCAAGAGGGCAACAGCCCAGAUCGUCAGCUAAGGUCCCUAAAUGUAAGUUAAGUGGUAAAGGAUGUGGAAUUGCACAGACAACCAGGAUGUUGGCUUAGAAGCAGCCACUCAUUUAAAGAGUGCGUAAUAGCUCACUGGUCGAGUGAUUCUGCGCCGAAAAUUUCCGGGGCUAAAACUUACUACCGAAGCUACGGCAUCAUUAUGAUGGGUAGGGGAGCUUUCUAUGUGGCUUGAAGCAUGACCGUAAGGACAUGUGGACUGCAUAGAAGUGAGAAUGUUGGCAUGAGUAGCGAGAUGUGGGUGAGAAUCCCACAGGCCGUAAACCCAAGGUUUCCAGGGGAAGGUUCGUCCGCCCUGGGUUAGUCAGGACCUAAGCCGAGGCCGAAAGGCGUAGGUGAUGGACAACAGGUUGAUAUUCCUGUACCACCAAUAACCGUUUGAGAAAUGGGAUGACACAGUAGGAUAAGCUAACCGCACUGUUGGUUAUGUGCGGGCAAGUAUUGAGGCAGUUCCGAUAGGCAAAUCCGUCGGAAUAAUGCUGGGGUACGAUGCGGAGCGAAAUUUAGUAGCGAAGUAGCUGAUUUCACACUGUCGAGAAAAGUCUCUAUCGAGGUUAAAGGUGCCUGUACCGCAAACCGACACAGGUGGGUGAGGAGAGUAUCCUAAGGCCAGCGAGAGAACUGUUGUUAAGGAACUCGGCAAAAUGACCCCGUAACUUAGGGAGAAGGGGUGCCUUCGAAAGAAGGCCGCAGAGAAUAGGCCCAAGCGACUGUUUACCAAAAACAUAGGUUUCUGCUAAGUCGCAAGACGAUGUAUAGGAGCUGACGCCUGCCCGGUGCUGGAAGGUUAAGGGGAUCUGUUAGAGCAAUCGAAGCAGUGAACUUAAGCCCCAGUAAACGGCGGCCGUAACUAUAACGGUCCUAAGGUAGCGAAAUUCCUUGUCGGGUAAGUUCCGACCCGCACGAAAGGCGUAACGAUUUGGGCACUGUCUCAACAAUAGACUCGGUGAAAUUGUAAUCCCGGUGAAGAUGCCGGGUACCUGCGACAGGACGGAAAGACCCCAUGGAGCUUUACUGUAGCUUGACGUUGGGUCUUGGUACUACAUGUACAGGAUAGGUGGGAGACUAUGAAGCAUGGACGCCAGUCUGUGUGGAGUCAUCCUUGGGAUACCACCCUUGUAGUACUGGGAUUCUAACCAGAGGCCAUGAAUCUGGUCUUGGGACACUGUCAGGUGGACAGUUUGACUGGGGCGGUCGCCU